RNAcentral lists this non-coding RNA (27 nucleotides) under Rattus norvegicus (Norway rat). The record is from RNAcentral. Lineage: Eukaryota; Metazoa; Chordata; Mammalia; Rodentia; Muridae.
CCAAGUUGGCUAAUCUACAUUCUGCUC